RNAcentral lists this ribosomal RNA (253 nucleotides) under uncultured bacterium. RNAcentral describes it as "partial 16S ribosomal RNA". It matches the Rfam family "Bacterial small subunit ribosomal RNA", at positions 524 to 776 of the family's 1533-position model. The record is from RNAcentral.
UACGGGGGGGGCAAGCGUUGUUCGGAAUUACUGGGCGUAAAGGGCUCGUAGGCGGCCAACUAAGUCGGAUGUGAAAUCCCCAAGCUUAACUUGGGAACUGCAUCCGAUACUGGAUGGCUUGAAUCCGGGAGAGGGAUGCAGAAUUCCAGGUGUAGCGGUGAAAUGCGUAGAUAUCUGGAGGAACACCGGUGGCGAAGGCGGCAUCCUGGACCGGGAUUGACACUGAGGCGCGAAAGCGUGGGGAGCGAUCCGG